GGGUUUGGCACAGUAAUC
RNAcentral lists this small nuclear RNA (18 nucleotides) under Arabidopsis thaliana (thale cress). RNAcentral's name for it is "snRNA_14994". The record is from RNAcentral. Lineage: Eukaryota; Viridiplantae; Streptophyta; Magnoliopsida; Brassicales; Brassicaceae.